RNAcentral lists this long non-coding RNA (676 nucleotides) under Urocitellus parryii (Arctic ground squirrel). Its description in RNAcentral is "lncRNA (ENSUPAG00010016889.1)". The record is from RNAcentral. Lineage: Eukaryota; Metazoa; Chordata; Mammalia; Rodentia; Sciuridae.
CGCCCCUCCCUGCAGCCUCCGCUGCCCUCCGGCUCUGCGCCGCGACCCCUGCGGCUGCGGGAGGCUGCGGUAUUCCACCCCAGGCAAGGGGUGCAAACCGGGAUGCAUUUGGGGACUAGGAGCCCUUACGCCUCCUUGUGUUCGCCCCUCACUUGCCCCCAAGUUCACCCCCAGGAAUUAACUACACCCCAGUUUAUGGAGCUCCCCAGUGGGUUCACAUUUCCCUGCUCACUUUAUUUCCAUUGGCCCUGGAAGAUGUGCCACAGGGAGUUCAGGGAUCAGCCGCAUGGACUCCCUGUUCCUGUUCCCCAUCUGUCUUCUCCCCCUCCCUGGGAAACAGGUGUGUCUGAGCCUGGGCUGGAAGCAGACCCUGAGUGCUGGAUGAAGGGCCUUGGAGUUAUUGAAGUUGAAGGCGAAAAUAGAACUCCAUGAGGUGGCAGGCAUUGGUCUGAGCAAGAGAGAGAGUUCAAGCCUGCUUUUACUCUUUCAUGCCUACUGGUUGGCUGGACUGGCCCCUCCAGGGACUCUCUGGAGAUUUCUCUGGAGCUCUUCAGCUGGAGAGGUUACCCACUGUCAUAAGAAAUGAAGGUAUCAUGUAUGUAUAAUAUGUCAAAAUACCCUCUACUGUCAUGUAUAUCUAAAAAAUAAAACAAAAUAAAAAAGAAAAAAUAGUUCA